Molecule: ribosomal RNA, 451 nt
Filed under: uncultured bacterium
Lineage: Bacteria
Description: partial 16S ribosomal RNA
Rfam family: Bacterial small subunit ribosomal RNA
Source: RNAcentral
GUGGGGAAUAUUGGACAAUGGGGGGAACCCUGAUCCAGCCAUGCCGCGUGUGUGAAGAAGGCCUUUUGGUUGUAAAGCACUUUAAGCGAGGAGGAGGCUACCGAGAUUAAUACUCUUGGAUAGUGGACGUUACUCGCAGAAUAAGCACCGGCUAACUCUGUGCCAGCAGCCGCGGUAAUACAGAGGGUGCAAGCGUUAAUCGGAUUUACUGGGCGUAAAGCGCGCGUAGGUGGCCAAUUAAGUCAAAUGUGAAAUCAACGAGCUUAACUUGGGAAUUGCAAUCGAUACUGGUUGGCUAGAGUAUGGGAGAGGAUGGUAGAAUUCCAGGUGUAGCGGUGAGAUGCGUAGAGAUCUGGAGGAAUACCGAUGGCGAAGGCAGCCAUCUGGCCUAAUACUGACACUGAGGUGCGAAAGCAUGGGGAGCAAACAGGAUUAGAUACCCCUGUAGUCC